Molecule: long non-coding RNA, 897 nt
Organism: Homo sapiens (human)
Lineage: Eukaryota; Metazoa; Chordata; Mammalia; Primates; Hominidae
Exons: 3
Source: RefSeq, a predicted model, not a curated record
GCUUUUGGAAGGAUAAACUUUUAUUUCAAGGGAAAAUGCUGGACUCAGUUCUGCUCUCAUCUUAGAUCUGAAGGGAGUUGGCCAGGUCUCCUCUUCUUGAGGGUACAUGACUAAGAGAGAUGGGAGGGGGCCCACAGCACAGAGACCUGUUGCCAAGAACAUCUCAGGGUGGAGAGACCUUUGGAACAUUUUUUUCCACUCUACAUCAGACAGAAUAAAAUUGAUUAGCAUUUAAUUGGUUUCAGCUGUUCUUAACAUGUUGCAUAGAAAACGUCAAUGUACUUUGCUAAAUUCAAUAUUCCUUAUGGUUAACAGAUUGAAAACCAAAAACGUCCUUGAAGAAAACACCAGAAAUCAGUGCUUUAGAUCACACUGAGUUGUUUGCUAUUGGUCACCCACUUGGAAUGUUCUGGGAACGCUAACUACUUUGGAUUGGAUAUAUUCAGAAAAGAAACAAAUCUUUGUCUGAUCAGAUGUAUUUGGAGAAAACAAAAAACCCACAACCCAAAGGAUGGGAUUUCACAUCUCAAGACAUCUCCCAGCCUUUAGGCCAUUGAGCUCCAGAUGAACCUCAGUGAGGGAUAGUGUCCUCUCAAUAUUCAAGAGUUACCCUUCUAUGGGGGACCCCCUAGACUGCCCAUCAGUGAGACACAACAGAGGCAAAAUCCUGCCCCUCUCUCCCUUGGACCUGGCUGGAUACCAGUUUCCCCAAUCCAUGGAAACAGCCUCCUGCUCUGACAACUAGCAAGAGGCCAAGACUCACAGAACCACCUACAACCCCCCAACCUCUGUCAGCAGGAAGCCAUUACAGAAGGCUCACCUUCAUCCAUUUUCUCCAAAUAACUGGGGUCUUGGACUCUUGAGGGGGGAAAUGCUAUAGUAGGUAGCUAGUAAGAC